GUAAUGCGUAGGAAGCUACCCGAUAGAGGGGGAUACCAGUUGGAAACGACUGUUAAUACCGCAUAAUGUCUACGGACCAAAGUGUGGGACCUUCGGGCCACAUGCUAUCGGAUGCGCCUACGUGGGAUUAGCUAGUUGGUGAGGUAAUGGCUCACCAAGGCGACGAUCUCUAGCUGGUUUGAGAGGAUGAUCAGCCACACUGGAACUGAGACACGGUCCAGACUCCUACGGGAGGCAGCAGUGGGGAAUAUUGGACAAUGGGCGCAAGCCUGAUCCAGCCAUGCCGCGUGUGUGAAGAAGGCCUUCGGGUUGUAAAGCACUUUCAGCGAGGAGGAAGAGUUGUGUGUUAAUAGUACACAGCUUUGACGUUACUCGCAGAAGAAGCACCGGCUAACUCUGUGCCAGCAGCCGCGGUAAUACAGAGGGUGCAAGCGUUAAUCGGAAUUACUGGGCGUAAAGCGCACGUAGGCGGUUUUUUAAGUCAGAUGUGAAAGCCCCGGGCUCAACCUGGGAAUUGCAUUUGAAACUGGAAAACUAGAGUGUGUGAGAGGGGGGUAGAAUUCCAAGUGUAGCGGUGAAAUGCGUAGAGAUUUGGAGGAAUACCAGUGGCGAAGGCGGCCCCCUGGCACAACACUGACGCUCAGGUG
RNAcentral lists this ribosomal RNA (647 nucleotides) under uncultured bacterium. Its description in RNAcentral is "bacterial SSU rRNA". It matches the Rfam family "Bacterial small subunit ribosomal RNA", at positions 110 to 753 of the family's 1533-position model. The record is from RNAcentral.